UCGACUAAAACCAAAAUCCCCAAAUGUAUUCGACCAAAAACAAAAUCCCUAAACCUAGUUCUUCACAAGUUGUCGCUGGCCAUAAGAUCACUAAAUGAUUUACGAUAUGUUCAAGGGUCGAUUUUUAUGUAAUAAUUAUCUAACAUUGCACUCAUAGGACCUGCAUAAGAGAUUAGUUUGGGAUAGCCUUUCUGUUUAUUUACGUUGUUAUUAAAACGUCAUAGCCAAUGCUGGUAGAGGUUGGGAAAUGAUGUACUGGAAUAUAAACAUAAAUUCUGUGUCGUAAAAGACGGUUAAGAGUGGCUGUAAAAAUCAUAGACAAUGAUGUUUUGAUAAUGGACAAAACUUCUGGUUUCGAUACAGCUGUUGAAGAAGCACAAUGGGCAGUAAAUUCAACAUAUAAUUGAGUCUCGGAUAAUCGGUUAGCUGCGGGCCUAAUCCAACUAUGUGGGGUGCCUCUGCCUAAGCCAUGGAGAAGCGGGAAAAUAGUUGUAAUGUCUGCACAACAUUGUAUAAAAUCCGAAUGAAUAGCAUUAGUGAAAUUUUGAACA
Prunus persica (peach) is the source of this 551-nucleotide long non-coding RNA. RefSeq lists it as uncharacterized. The transcript is spliced from 3 exons. NCBI's taxonomy places the organism in Eukaryota, Viridiplantae, Streptophyta, Magnoliopsida, Rosales, Rosaceae. The record is from RefSeq and is a predicted model, not a curated record.